This is a long non-coding RNA of Triticum aestivum (bread wheat), 4473 nucleotides long. RefSeq lists it as uncharacterized. The record is from RefSeq and is a predicted model, not a curated record. NCBI's taxonomy places the organism in Eukaryota, Viridiplantae, Streptophyta, Magnoliopsida, Poales, Poaceae. The transcript is spliced from 10 exons.
ACAAUAGACAAUUAUCAUGAACAAGGAAAUAUAAUAAUAACCAUUUUAGUAUUGCCUCUAGGGCAUAUUUCCAACAAUAUAUAACCCUUAUGUGGAUUGACAUCAAUUCCAUGAUUCACCUAGCAUAGUUAUGUGAAAUAGUCAUGCAGUGUGUCAAAAUCGUGCAAAAAAAAUCAAAUAAAUGGGCCUGUGUUGAAACUGCAGCACUGCUACUUGCUUUGUUAAGACAAAUGUUAAUGUUGAUGCACAUGGAUUGUCCAUUGAAGUGCACUUCCAUAGUUGCAGCACUAUUAUUUCCAAGAUGUACUUCAAAUGGUUGUUCGAUUCCAUUCACAUGUUUGUUUGAUUGCAUAGCUGCAGGGCUUUGAUUAGGCAUGUGAUUCAUUUCUUGAAGGUCUCAAAAUUGGAGAUUUGUUAAGAGUCAAGAAGGUGUUAAGGUAGCCAAUUGAUCUAUUGUACCUCCAGGCUUUAUUAAUGGCCAGCUUACUUACUGUGAUAUAUAACACUUCUGUUGAUUGACGUCAACUACAUGAUUCAACUAGCAUAGUGAUGUGAAAUAUUCAUGCAAUGUGUCGAAACUGUUCCAAAAUGUCAAAUAAAUGGACCUGCGUCGAAAGUGUAGGGCUGCUACUUACUUGGUUAAGUCAACAUUAAUGUUGAUGCACAUGUCGAAACUGUAGGAUUGCAAUUUAUGUUUUGUGGGAGGAUGGCAGACUUUAUUUUUUUCUACACAAGGGAAGAUAGAUAUCAAGACUGAUUUGUACUAUAGCAUCUGUACUUUCCCUCAUUCUAGGAGAUUGAACCUGAUGCAUUUCUAUGCAAGGGAAUUUUAAUUAUGUCUCAUCUCUACACGAGGUACAACGGCCAGCGACCGGAUGACGCUGACAGCAAAAGGAAGGGUUCUCGAGUUCUACUCCUUCUCCACCGGCAGAGAGGAGCCUCCUUCUCGUGGUCCGCGUGUCUGCCCCAGCCCUGCCAGCGCUGACCCCAUGGAAGAUGAGCAACUUGGCGAAGCAGUGGGCCAACCCCAAGGUGUGGUGGGCCCCAUGAUAGCGAAGAUGAUGGCGAAGGUGAAUGUGUCCCGGUGAACAUCCCAUGAUCGACGUUGCUUCCGAGGCCAUGGCGGCAUCUGGCACAAGUUUGGUCGGCUAAGCAGCUCCACCUCCUUUGGUGCGCGCACUGACGUCUCCCGCUCUGCCCCUCCGGUGGCUGCUUCCUCUUUGGUUCCGCAUAGGCUGCAACAGGAGAUGCUUGGGUUGAAAGUACAGCUGGCAAGCAGUACUUGGUGAGCCAGAUUUGGUGCAUUCGUAUUUGACCCUGGAGGAGGAACCUUUGAUGUCUCCAUUCUAGCAUGCUCUAACGGAGUGUUUGAGGGUAUUAAGUUCGACAUGAAUGAUGCCACAAUGCUUUUGAACAGAAGCAUUUGUUGGCCGCUGGGGGCAAGGUGAGCGUACCUCUGAGGACGCUAGAUCAUACCGAGCACCGAGGCCAGCCAGACUAGGAAAAAGCUUGCUUUCCAGGAAGGCACAACACUGCACUUGCUGCAGGAGUAAAAAUUAUGCCAUGGAGGUGCUGCAGUCCCUAGAUGAACCCUAGGUUUAACUUAACAAAUAUGCCAUGGCCUCCCCUGCUCCGUCCACUCUGGCCUAGGUGAGAUCAAUCGUCCUUGUGGAUGAGGAUUGGCAUCGUGUGUCUGUGAACAGGAAAACGGAGCCCCUUGGUGGUUUCAUCUCAGUUUGUUGUGCUCAGCCGCAAAUUACUGGAUCCAUGUUGCAGGCUACCAUUGUUGUGGAUGCUUCAUAUGGUUCUACGCCAUCUCAGCGUAACAAGGAUAGGACCCUGGUGCUUCAGUUCUCGGUCAAGCACGAGCAGGACCUUGACACUGCUUUUGGGAACAUGAUGUCACCUGGCACAAAUUUGCCCGGCGAAGCAGCUCUGCCUGCUCUGACGAUGACUCCGACGCCUCCCGUCCCGCUGUUUCCUCUUCGGUUCGGGCAUAGAUGAGCAACUUGGCCAAACAGUGGGCCAACCCCAAGGAGUGGUGGGCCCCAUGAUAGCGAAGAUGAUGGCGAAGGUGAAUGGGUCCCGAUGAACAUCCCAUGAUCGACGUUGCUUCCGGGACCAUGGAUGCAUGUGGCACAUGUUUGGCCGGCAAAGCAGCUCCGCCUCCUUUGGCGCGCACUCUGAUGCCUCUCGGCCUGCCCCUCCGGCGCCUGCUUCCUCUUUGGUUCUGGCAUAGGCUGCAACUGGAGACGCUUGGGUUGAAACUACAGAUGGCAAGCAGUACUCAGUGAGCCAGAUUGGUGCAUUUUUUAUUUGACCUUGGAGGAGGAACCUUUGAUGUCUCCAUUCUAUAGUGCUCUAACGGAGUGUUUGAGGGUAUUAAGUUCGACCGGAAUGACGCCACAAUGCUUUUCAACAGAAGCAUUUGUUGGCCGCUGGGGGCAAGGUGAGCGUACCUUGGAGGACGCUAAAUCAUGCCGAGCACUCAGGCCAGCCAGACUGGGCAAAAGCUUGCUUGCUUUCCGGGAAGGCGCAGCGCUGCGCUUGAUGCAGGUUUGCCACUUUCAGAGACAUGUAGCAAUCAGACAUUUAAUCCAUGCUCUUGUUUAUAAUUUCUCUUUGCAUGGCUACAUAUACACACAUGACAUGAUGACUGAAUAGUGCACUUCCUAUGUUGUGGUCACAUUAAGUGUAGUUUAGGUAUUAUGCAAUGUGUAUUUUAUUCGUAGAUGAUCAGGGAGGGAUGUUGUCUUUUCUAGAUUAAAACCUUUCUGUUGGGCCGCGUUUCCUGUCAUAUGCUAUGCAUCUUCCAGAUGGAUCCUGUAAAUUCUGGGAGAUCAUGCUGCCUACCUACCGUAAACGCCACUACUUUGUACCCUUCUUUGGUCUCCAUGGCUUGUGGUUGGCAUGUCGUUGGUGUCACAUGGUCGGUUGAGCAUAUGUGCAAACUUGUAAAGUCCUGGAUCUUUUCUUGGUGCCUGCCCCAGGUUUGGAUUUCGGUAUGGGGGUGUUUCUGAAUCGGCCAUCUAUCACCAUGCAAAUCUAGCUAGGCAUGCACACUAUGGUUUCUGCCACCUAAGGUGGUUUUUUUCUGGUUCAUUUCACAUGGCUGCAACAAGACCAGCAGAUGUCUUUUCCUUGUGCAUGGUGAAAACAAUAAUGAAGCGUCUCAACCCCCUGAUCGGGAGCCCACGAUGUUUAUAUAGAUUGUAAACGUGAAGUACAAGGCAGUCCGUUGUUGACAGAAUACAAGAGAGAGAGGAGAUCGGGAUAAAGGGAGUUGUAAUAGGACAGGAGAUCUAUCCCUAAAUAUUCAGGUGUGAGGCACAAGACAAGAACCAUUGACGCCUCCACAUUAACAUAUUUAACACCCUCCCUUAAUCUGAACUGCGCAAGUUUAGAUUACGCUUAAACUCCUCAAACGGCCUUGUAGCCAGUGCCUUUGUAAACCCAUCAGCAACUUGAUCCUUCAAGUGAACAAAUCGAAUGUCUAAUUCCUUGUUGGCAACUCUUUCCCUCACAAAGUGAUAAUCAAUUUCAAUGUGUUUAGUACGUGCAUGAAACACAGGAUUAGCUGACAAGUAUGUCGCACCAAGAUUGUCACACCAAAGACAAGGUGUCAGAAUGUUAUAUAUGCCAAGUUCCUUAAGCAUAGACUUCACCCAAAUAAUUUCUGCUGUUGCAUUGGCAAGUGCUUUGUAUUCUGCUUCAGUACUAGAUCUGGAAACUGUGGCUUGUUUCUUUGCACACCAAGAAAUCAAGUUGGGACCAAAGAACACUGCAAAGCCAUCAGUUGAUCUUCUAUCAUCCAAGCAACCUACCCAGUCAGAAUCAGAGAAGGCACUAACAAGAGGGGAUGGUGACUUACUGAAGGUUAGACCAACACAUAUCUCAGUAUACGUUUGGCUGCCGUCCAAUGAGCAGUGGUUGGUGCAUGAAGAUACUGACAAACCUUGUUUACUGCAAAGGAGAUAUCAGGUCUGGUGAGAGUCAAGUACUGAAGCGCACCCACCAGACUUCUGUAUUUGGUGCCAUCCUCUUGAUUCAAGAGUUCUCCUUCAACAAGUGUGAGUUUCUCUGAACUAGACAAAGGUGUUGGGGAAGGUUUGCAACCCUGCAACCCAUCUCUCCUCAAAAGAUCUGUAGCAUAUUUUUCCUGAGAAAGAUGAAGACCACCUUCUUUGUUUCUCUUGACCUCAAUGCCAAGGAAAAAAUGCAAGUCACCAAGAUCCUUAAGAGCAAAUUCUGAGUUCAAAUCUGACAAGAGGGCUGUCACUGCUUCAUUAGAUGAGCUUGUGACAAUAAUAUCAUCAACAUAGAUAAGCACAAAAACUGAAGUGUUCGACUUAUUGUAAAUAAACAGUGAUGCAUCAGAUUUUGAAGGAGUGAAACCAAGUUGUUGCAAUUUUGUACUCAACCUAGAGUACCAUACUCUGGGGGCUUGCUUCAGUCCAUAGAGUGAUCUGUCAA